UCUAAAAAUAAAAAGGUAAUAUCUUUGGAGAAACCUAUACUCUUUGACGGCCUUUUUCCUUAUUAGAGGAACUUGUUGUCUAAUCGAAACUACACGUUAACUUUCUCUUUUUUUCAAAGCUUUUAUACCGUCGUCUUAAGAAUCUACCUUGAAGUCUGUUCUAAAUUUAUAAUCAAAAUAAGACAGAUCAAGGUGAAGCCUAUAAAGAAGAGCAUAAUGAGUUAUUUAUAAAAAUAAUUUAUAGAUUCCUAUUUGAAAAAAUUAAAUAAAUUAAGAUCUAAAAGUAUUAUUAAGUUAGUAAUUUAUAAAGAGCUAGUAAAAAAAGGUGU
This 329-nucleotide ribosomal RNA is filed under the name Namea sp. Nardi. RNAcentral's name for it is "partial 12S ribosomal RNA". Lineage: Eukaryota; Metazoa; Arthropoda; Arachnida; Araneae; Anamidae. The record is from RNAcentral.